This 445-nucleotide ribosomal RNA is filed under the name uncultured bacterium. Its description in RNAcentral is "bacterial SSU rRNA". It matches the Rfam family "Bacterial small subunit ribosomal RNA", at positions 330 to 792 of the family's 1533-position model. The record is from RNAcentral.
GCCAGACUCCUACGGGAGGCAGCAGUGGGGAAUAUUGCACAAUGGGGGAAACCCUGGUGCAGCGACGCCGCGUGAGUGAAGAAGUAUUUCGGUAUGUAAAGCUCUAUCAGCAGGGAAGAAAAUGACGGUACCUGACUAAGAAGCCCCGGCUAACUACGUGCCAGCAGCCGCGGUAAUACGUAGGGGGCAAGCGUUAUCCGGAUUUACUGGGUGUAAAGGGGGCGCAGACGGCAGCGCAAGCCAGGAGUGAAAGCCCGGGGCCCAACCCCGGGACUGCUCUUGGAACUGCGCGGCUGGAGUGCAGGAGGGGCAGGCGGAAUUCCUUGUGUAGCGGUGAAAUGCGUAGAUAUAAGGAAGAACACCAGUGGCGAAGGCGGAUGACUGGACGGCAACUGACGGUGAGGCGCGAAAGCGUGGGGAGCAAACAGGAUUAGAUACCCUUGUA